This 2394-nucleotide long non-coding RNA is filed under the name Homo sapiens (human). RNAcentral describes it as "non-protein coding NUTM2A-AS1:4". The record is from RNAcentral. Lineage: Eukaryota; Metazoa; Chordata; Mammalia; Primates; Hominidae.
UCUAUGGUUUCCGCGGCUCGCUAGAAGGAGUGCGGUCCACUGGAGGUCUCCCUACAUUCUUCCUCCAUUAUCUCACUGCCUCCGGUGGCUGCUGGGAUACCGGAGGACUCGGGUCCCGGCUCGACUCAGUCCUCCAGCCGCCCGGGGAAUACCUCUAGUUCUUCCCGGCCGCCGCCGCCUCCGCCCCGCCGCUUCCUCCUCCGCCUGCCGGCCUCCUUCGCCCCGCCCCGUCCGCGCAGCUCGUCCGGCCCGCCCGCAGGCCAGCUUCUCUCGGGAGCCUCCACCCAGGCGCAUGGCUCCAUGAAGCAAGAGGAGGAGGCAGAGCGCGAGAGAUCCCGUCCGCCCCAGCCGCGUCUGGGCCAGGAGAAAAGCAAAACCAUAUUCCUGCUGCUGUCAGUUUUGAUGCACUGAGAAAACUUCAGAGACCUAAGCUUUUUCCAGAGAAGAGAAGCUUUACUGGUGUUCCAGCCCUAAGGCUCAUAUGACAUUAACAGACAAGACACUUUUCAGAAAGACAGGCAACGUGUUGGACCUUCCGGAGCUUCUCAGAAGACAGAGGGUUUUCUUUUGAGGCUGUUGUACAGUGGCCUGAUUAUAGCUCACUGUAGCCUCGAAAUUCUGGGCCGAAAUGAUCCGCCUGCCUCAGCCUCCAAAGUAGCUGAGACUACAGGCUGGUCUUGAACUCUUGGGCUGAAGAGAUUCUCCCACCUCAGCCUCCCAAGGUGUUGAGAUUACAAGCAUGAGCCACCUCACCUGGCCAAGAGCUAGUUGUUAAAAGAGCCUAGCACUACCCCCCUCUUUCUUGUUUCCUCUCUCACCAUGUGAUCUCCACACACAUUGGCUUGCCUUCCCUUUCUGACAUGAGCGGAAGCAGCCUGAGGCCCUCACCAGAUGUGGAUGCCAGUGCCAUGCUUCUUGUACAAUCUGCAGAAUCAUAAGCUAAAUACACCUCUUUUCUUUAUAAAUUACCCAGCCUUGGGUAUUCCUUUAUAGCAACACAAACGGAGAAAGACAUAUGCAAUUUGCCAUUUUAAUCAUUUUUAACUGUACAAUUUGGUGGUAUUAAUUAUAUUUACAAUGUUGUGCAACCGUUACCACCAUCUAUUACCAAAGCCCUUUCAUCACCCCAAAUAGAAACUGUGCUUAUUCAGCAAAAACUCCCAUUUUCCUCUCCUUCCAGCCCCUGGUAACCUCUGGUAACCUCUAAUCUACCUCCUGUCUCUAUGAAUUUGCCUAUUGUAAAUAUUUCACAUAAUGGUAUCAUACACUAUCCUUUUGUGUCUAGCUUAUUUAACUUAGCAUAAUGUUUUCAAGGUUCAUCCAUCUUAUAGCAUGUAUCAGUAUUCCAUUCUUCUUUUCUAUGGCUGAAUAAUAAUUGUAUGUAUAUACUGCAUCUUGUUUAUCCAUUUAUCUUUUUGUUUGUUUGUUUUUUAAAGACAGGGUUUUACCAUGUUGGCCAAGCUAGUCUCGAACUCCUGAACUCAGGUGAUCCGCCCACCUUGGCCUCACAAAGUACUGGGAUUACAGGCGUGAGCCAUCGUGCCUGGCCUAUCCGUUUAUCUUUUGAUAGACAUUUUGGUUGUUUCUACCUUUUGUCUAUUGUGAAUAAUGCUGCUAUGAACAUUAGUGUACAAGUCACUGUUUAAGUUGUUGUUUUCAAUUCUUUUGGGUAUUGUAUUAGGCCAUUCUUGCAUUGAUAUAAAGAAAUACCUGAGACUGGGUAAGUGCCAAAGAAAAAAGGGUUUAGUUGGCUCACAUUUCUGCAGUCUGUACAGGAAGCAUAGCAGCAUCUGCUUCCAGGGAGGCUUCAGGAAGCUUCCAAUCAUGAUGGAAGGCAAAGUGGGUGCAGGUAUGUCACGUGGCAAAAGCCAGAGCAAGAGAGGAAGUGGGGAGGUGCUGCACACUUUUAAACAAUCAAAUCUUGUGAGAACUCACAAUCUUGAUGACAGCUAGAGAUGGUGAAGCCACUCAUGAGAAACCACUCCCAUGAUCCAAUCACCUCCCACCAGGCCCCAACUCUAACACCGGAGAUUAAUUACAUUUCAACAUGAGAUUUGCAUAGGAACAAACAGUCAAACUAUAUCCGGUAUAUACUUAAGAGUAGAAUUACUGGGUGAUAAUUCUGUUUUACGUUUUGAGGAAUUGCCAAACUAUCUUCCUCAGCAGUUAAACCAUUUACAUUCCCACCAGCAGUAUACUAGGUUUCCAAUUUCUCCACAUGUUCAACAACACUAGUUAUUUUUUCUUCUAAUUAUAGCCAUUCUAGUAGGUACAAAGUGGUAUCUCAUUGUGGUUUUAGCAUCUUUUGAGUUGCUUAUUGACCAUUUACAUGUCUUUUUUUUAGAGAAGUGUCUAAGUAUUUUGUCCAUUAAAAAAUUGAGUUAUUUAUCUUUU